AGUGAACGCUGGCGGUAGGCCUAACACAUGCAAGUCGAACGGCAGCACAGUAAGAGCUUGCUCUUACGGGUGGCGAGUGGCGGACGGGUGAGGAAUACAUCGGAAUCUACUUUUUCGUGGGGGAUAACGUAGGGAAACUUACGCUAAUACCGCAUACGACCUACGGGUGAAAGCAGGGGAUCUUCGGACCUUGCGCGAUUGAAUGAGCCGAUGUCGGAUUAGCUAGUUGGCGGGGUAAAGGCCCACCAAGGCGACGAUCCGUAGCUGGUCUGAGAGGAUGAUAAGCCACACUGGGACUGAGAAAAGGUCCAGACUCCUACGGGAGGCAGAAGUGGGGAAUAUUGGACAAUGGGCGCAAUCCUGAUCCAGCCAUACCGCGUGGGUGAAGAAGGACUUCGGGUUGGAAAGCCCUUUUGUUGGGAAAGAAAAGCAGCAGGUUAAUACCCCGCUGUUCUGACGGUACCGAAAGAAUAAGCACCGGCUAACUUCGUG
RNAcentral lists this ribosomal RNA (492 nucleotides) under uncultured bacterium. RNAcentral describes it as "partial 16S ribosomal RNA". It matches the Rfam family "Bacterial small subunit ribosomal RNA", at positions 29 to 507 of the family's 1533-position model. The record is from RNAcentral.